GACGAACGCUGGCGGCGUGCUUAACACAUGCAAGUCGAACGGAAAGGCCCUUCGGGGUACUCGAGUGGCGAACGGGUGAGUAACACGUGGGUGAUCUGCCCUGCACUUUGGGAUAAGCCUGGGAAACUGGGUCUAAUACCGAAUAGGACCACGCGCUUCAUGGUGUGUGGUGGAAAGCUUUUGCGGUGUGGGAUGGGCCCGCGGCCUAUCAGCUUGUUGGUGGGGUAAUGGCCUACCAAGGCGACGACGGGUAGCCGGCCUGAGAGGGUGACCGGCCACACUGGGACUGAGAUACGGCCCAGACUCCUACGGGAGGCAGCAGUGGGGAAUAUUGCACAAUGGGCGCAAGCCUGAUGCAGCGACGCCGCGUGAGGGAUGACGGCCUUCGGGUUGUAAACCUCUCUCAAUAGGGACGAAGCGCAAGUGACGGUACCUAUAGAAGAAGCACCGGCCAACUACGUG
This 462-nucleotide ribosomal RNA is filed under the name uncultured bacterium. RNAcentral's name for it is "partial 16S ribosomal RNA". It matches the Rfam family "Bacterial small subunit ribosomal RNA", at positions 28 to 507 of the family's 1533-position model. The record is from RNAcentral.